CGUUAAGCGACGCAGGUUAAUUAUACCUAGGGUGGCGGUGAAGACAGGCUAGCGGCGCAGUGACGAGUCGGUGCAGUGGCGAGGCGACGCUGUGUCGAGGUGCUCCGAGUCCCCUUGACUGGUCCUACUCUGCAAAAACAAUAAAAACAACAAUAUAAGUAAAAAGUUUUGGCAGAACCUCUCCGGGAGGUUUCCAAAACCUGCAAAAAAGAAGUCACAUAUACGACACGAAUGCCACACAUCCAUAAGGCCAUCAACAUCACAUACGGCACAAUAGCCGACAUACUUACUACUACUAACUACGACUACUACUAACUAAUUACUACACUACUACUACUAAUACUGACUACUACUACUAACAAAACCAGAAAAAAUACCACUUACCGGCGAUGGACAACGACGACGACGACGAGAACGACCGCAGCACCACGACGGAGACGACCACACCCUCCUCCUCCUUCUCUUCCUUCUCCUCUUCCUUCUCCUCCUUCUCCUCUCCCCUUCUCUUCUGCCCUCUUUCUUCUUCCCUGC
RNAcentral lists this long non-coding RNA (531 nucleotides) under Sorghum bicolor (sorghum). RNAcentral's name for it is "long non-coding RNA (SBIC_LNC001573)". Lineage: Eukaryota; Viridiplantae; Streptophyta; Magnoliopsida; Poales; Poaceae. The record is from RNAcentral.